RNAcentral lists this unclassified non-coding RNA (499 nucleotides) under Drosophila ananassae. RNAcentral's name for it is "GF27612". Lineage: Eukaryota; Metazoa; Arthropoda; Insecta; Diptera; Drosophilidae. The record is from RNAcentral.
CCGUCGUGGUAGUGGCGGAAGAACUGGUUGACGAAGAUGACGAAGUGGCAUCGGCAACCGGGGUUCUCAGGACGAGAAUCGUUGCAAGGAUAGUUAUGUAAAAAUCUUUGAUCUGGCUGACAUAGCAUUCUUUGGAGCAUGCAACUUUUGUGGCUUGGCAGGAAUUUCUUUGUUACUGGGAGCUAUUGUGUUUCAUAGUGCAUUAAUAUGGAUAGCCGUGGGAAUACUUUUUUCUGUAACCAUUAUAGUUGGAAUAUACGUGUUUAUUUUGACAAUAACACAUUGGGAUGCGCAUAAUAUCCUGUUGGAUUUUGCGUAUAUCCUUACAGCUAUUUUAUUGACGGGAUCUCUCGUAUUUAUUACUGUAUCACUGUAUUUCUUUGGAAGUGAUAUGAAACAUGAAGAGGCCUCCCGUGACUGGAGAACACCAAAUUGUAAAGGUAAACGAGUGUUUAGGUGGUUUCAUGUAAGAGGAGUAUGGCGGUUGUUUAGAAGGAGG